This 266-nucleotide signal recognition particle RNA is filed under the name Salirhabdus euzebyi. RNAcentral's name for it is "Bacterial large signal recognition particle RNA". It matches the Rfam family "Bacterial large signal recognition particle RNA". From Rfam's summary of the family: The signal recognition particle (SRP) is a universally conserved ribonucleoprotein involved in the co-translational targeting of proteins to membranes. Archaeal SRP consists of a 7S RNA and homologues of the eukaryotic SRP19 and SRP54 proteins. The record is from Rfam by way of RNAcentral. Lineage: Bacteria; Bacillati; Bacillota; Bacilli; Caryophanales; Bacillaceae.
UCGUGCUAGGUGGGGAGGUAGCGGUGCCCUGUACUCGCAAUCCGCUAUAGCGAGGCUGAAUCCCUAUCCGAGGUGAAACAACUUUAUGGUCUGCCUUAAGUAAGUGGUGUUGACACCUGGGUCCUGCGCAAUGGGAACCCGUGAACCCUGUCAGGUCCGGAAGGAAGCAGCAGUAAGCGGUCAUUCUUGUGUGCCGCGGGGUCGCCUGGGUCGAGCCAUGAGCUUAAGUAACGCUUGAGGUUGUUUCAUCGACGAUAGGUGCACGG